Molecule: long non-coding RNA, 965 nt
Filed under: Mus pahari (shrew mouse)
Lineage: Eukaryota; Metazoa; Chordata; Mammalia; Rodentia; Muridae
Description: expressed sequence AU016765 (MGP_PahariEiJ_G0004860.1)
Source: RNAcentral
GGGUUACUCAGCCCCUGCUAAAAGUCUAGAUCCUUGCUCUUCCUGACUCAGGAGACAGACAGACGGCUUCAGUAAGUCCGACUUCCCACCAGCUGUUCUGAUCUUCCAGGCUCACUUCAUCCGGCCAGGCGGAACUUGGCGACACGUGAUCCCACACAAGACUACGCCAAGCUGAGUCUUACUGGGGAUCCGUGCUGGAGUGGACUGGAGCGGACUGGAGCGGAGGUCAGGAGCCUGUGCUGUCCCCUGAGGGUGCCUUGUUACCUUACCCUGCUCCAACGCACACAGCAUAACUUCUUUUCCUGGUCACUCUGAUCUCCAGGUUUCUGAGAUUCCAGAGUGAUAUGCCUUGAUGUCUCUUUCCUUAUGUUUCAUGUGUCUAAGCUUCAGUGAGCUUCUAAGAACUAAGUAUCCUAACAUGAAACCAUGAAACAGUGCUCAAGCAAAAGCCUGCAAGACUUGGAUCCAUCCACUCUACUAAAGGGUGUAAGACCACUGACAGCCUGGGGCAUGUAUCUGAGCUGCCCUUUGGAAAUUGACCACUGCCUAGCAGCCCAGCACAGAAAGGCACACAGACACCUCCGUUGAUGUCAUCAGCCCAGCUAAAAAUGAUGCCAGAUGCUUAGAAGAGACAAGAAGGCUUGUCCAGGAGUACUGGUCAGCUAAGCUCCUCGGUGCCACCAAGAAUAGCUGUUCAAACAGUCAUCCUUCAGUCAUAGGAAAGCUUCGGUACGGAGAAAGGGUGUGCAUCUAUCCGUGGCUGGUGCAUCUCCAAAUGAUUUCAAUUUAUGAUGAUAUUUGAAUACAGAAAAAUAAACGAAAACACUAGCACAUUUGACAUUUGAAAUUAUGCUGAUUGGCUGGCAUAUUUUAAAACACAUCAAAUAAAGACAGGCAUCAAUGUUUGACAAAUUUUUGUACCAGAUAUAUCGUAAGAAACAAACGAAAUGGAAAGUAUCAACAAA